AGAGCUUGCUCUUAUGAAGUUAGCGGCGGACGGGUGAGUAACACGUGGGUAACCUGCCCAUAAGACUGGGAUAACUCCGGGAAACCGGGGCUAAUACCGGAUAACAUUUUGAACCGCAUGGUUCGAAAUUGAAAGGCGGCUUCGGCUGUCACUUAUGGAUGGACCCGCGUCGCAUUAGCUAGUUGGUGAGGUAACGGCUCACCAAGGCAACGAUGCGUAGCCGACCUGAGAGGGUGAUCGGCCACACUGGGACUGAGACACGGCCCAGACUCCUACGGGAGGCAGCAGUAGGGAAUCUUCCGCAAUGGACGAAAGUCUGACGGAGCAACGCCGCGUGAGUGAUGAAGGCUUUCGGGUCGUAAAACUCUGUUGUUAGGGAAGAACAAGUGCUAGUUGAAUAAGCUGGCACCUUGACGGUACCUAACCAGAAAGCCACGGCUAACUACGUGCCAGCAGC
This 457-nucleotide ribosomal RNA is filed under the name Bacillus cereus. RNAcentral describes it as "bacterial SSU rRNA". It matches the Rfam family "Bacterial small subunit ribosomal RNA", at positions 75 to 515 of the family's 1533-position model. The record is from RNAcentral. Lineage: Bacteria; Bacillati; Bacillota; Bacilli; Caryophanales; Bacillaceae.